This is a long non-coding RNA of Perognathus longimembris pacificus (Pacific pocket mouse), 1736 nucleotides long. RefSeq lists it as uncharacterized. The transcript is spliced from 3 exons. The record is from RefSeq and is a predicted model, not a curated record. NCBI's taxonomy places the organism in Eukaryota, Metazoa, Chordata, Mammalia, Rodentia, Heteromyidae.
UCUCAUGCUUUUCAAGUAACUGUGCUGGACAACGAAAAGGAGAGAAAGCAGAGAUGGAUGGGGAAGUGUGGACUUCAUGAAGAUUUAGAGACUUUCUCUCACAUUCAUGCCAUCAUUCUUCCUGAAAACAUUGAACGCGUGCAAACAGCCUGGGACACACUGCACACGUCAGGGUUAGCUCCAUUUAUAGGACUGGAUCCCUCGGGCCAGUGAUCUUGUUCUAUUCUGCACUGACAGCCAGGCAGCUUCUGAGGGGUUAUCCACACUCCCUAAAGCUGUUGAGGAAAUCUCACGGAGAAGCCCAGGGGACCCGGAAUUUCUGGAGCCACACACUUGGUGUGAACUGGGUGGGCUCUCCCUUGUUAGCUCUGUGGCAGUCUGGAAGGAUCUCCAGGGAUGCUCAAGACCUGCUCUGUGCCAGGGGAGAAGGAGACUGACCCAGGGCCCUGUGUCUUUGGCAGAGGCAGGAAGGAAGCCACACAAGUCUCCUAAAUAUUCCCACGUGGCAGCAAAUCCAUACACAUCUCCCUCUCCCUUCCCCCGUGGAUGGCUUGCCCACAGCCUCUUAGCACCUCAGCAUCGUAUUUCUCAUUGAUGGAAGGCUCAGUCGUCACCAGCUUCAUCCUGUUGGCAAACCGCAGCGAAGACAGCUAGAAAAGAGACAAGGCAGAUGUCCGAUGACUUCCAAAUCAAGUAAGACCCCAAACCAUUAGGCUUUUCGAAGCCAGGCAUAGGGAUUCGUGCCUGUAAUUCUGAGCUACUCAAGAGGCAGAGAUUGGGAGGAUUGUGGUCCUAGCUCUGGCACAAAGUUGACUAUGUCAGUCAAUAAAACCGUAGGUGUAGCUGGGUGUUCGUGGCUCACGCCUGUCAUCCUAGCUACUCAAGAGACUGAGAUCUGAGGAUCACAGUGCGAAGCCAGCCCAGGCAGGAAAGUCUGUGAGACUCUUAUCUCCAAUUAACCACUAGAAAACAAGAAGUAAGGCUGUGCCUCUAAGUGACAGCUCCCAGGCCCUGAGUUCAAGCCCCAUGACCAGAAAAAAAAAAAAGUAUUUUUUUCAAUACCCCCACCAAAACACAUUAACCUACUAUACCCAUCGUUUUAGGAUUCCAGCAUGUAAUCAGUGUUUAAAAAUUACUGCUAGGCAACAGUGGGGUUCUGCGUGUAAUCCCAGCUAUUCAAGAGGCUGACAUCUGAGAAUCGCUGUUUGAAGCUGGCCCAGGCAGGCAAAUCCAAGACUCUCUCUCUCCAACUAAGAAGCAAAGAAGCAAAAAAGCUGGAAGUGGAGGUGAGUCUCCAGUGAUUCCUCUUGGGGUGCAGCGGUGCUUUGCUAUGAACCAGAGAGAUUUUAAAGCUCUCCUCUGGGGAGGCUGCCUCACGUCAGCUGGAGCUGCUUGCCCCAGGCUCCAAGCCCCAGGGGCACUGGAUGCGUGGCAGAAACGCGCUCCCUAGAAGCUGGGACUGUCCCUAACGCGCACAGCUGGGAGGCCCCGCGGACAGAUCUCGCGCCACCCGCAUCCUUGGUAAUGAAGGGCUUUGCCUACCUAAGUAUAUUCUCAAGAUAGCUGGGGAUUGCCUUACAGCGUGCACAUUUGAAAAGCAAAAUGGCUGGGGACAUAGCUCGCGUGGUAUAGUGCUUGGCCUGGCGAGUGUGAUGACCUAAAUUCAAUCCCUAGUAACAGACACAGACACACACACACACACACACACACACACACACACACACACACACACACAC